RNAcentral lists this ribosomal RNA (253 nucleotides) under uncultured bacterium. RNAcentral's name for it is "partial 16S ribosomal RNA". It matches the Rfam family "Bacterial small subunit ribosomal RNA", at positions 524 to 776 of the family's 1533-position model. The record is from RNAcentral.
UACAGAGGGUGCAAGCGUUAAUCGGAAUUACUGGGCGUAAAGCGUGCGUAGGUGGUCUUUUAAGUUGGAUGUGAAAUCCCCGGGCUUAACCUGGGAACUGCAUUCAAGACUGGGAGACUUGAGUCUGGGAGAGGGUGGUGGAAUUUCAGGUGUAGCGGUGAAAUGCGUAGAUAUCUGAAGGAACAUCAGUGGCGAAGGCGACCGCCUGGCCUAAGACUGACACUGAGGCACGAAAGCGUGGGGAGCAAACAGG